ACAAGGCGGUGGAGUAUGUGGUUUAAUUCGAUGCAAACGCGAAGAACCUUACCUGGUCUUGACAUCCCGGAGACCCUUAGGAACUAGGGGUGCUUCCAUCUGGAAGAAUCUGGAGACAGGUGCUGCAUGGCUGUCGUCAGCUCGUGUCGUGAGAUGUUGGGUUAAGUCCCGCAACGAGCGCAACCCUUGCCUUUAGUUGCCAGCAGUUCGGCUGGGCACUCUAAAGGGACUGCCGGUGUUAAACCGGAGGAAGUGGGGAUGACGUCAAGUCCUCAUGGCCUUUAUGACCAGGGCUACACACGUACUACAAUGGCCGAUACAAAGGGCAGCGACACUGCGAGGUGAAGCCAAUCCCGUAAAAUCGGUCUCAGUCCGGAUUGGAGUCUGCAACUCGACUCCAUGAAGUUGGAAUCGCUAGUAAUCGUGGAUCAGCAUGCCACGGUGAAUACGUUCCCGGGCCUU
RNAcentral lists this ribosomal RNA (462 nucleotides) under uncultured Desulfobulbus sp. RNAcentral describes it as "bacterial SSU rRNA". It matches the Rfam family "Bacterial small subunit ribosomal RNA", at positions 925 to 1382 of the family's 1533-position model. Lineage: Bacteria; Pseudomonadati; Thermodesulfobacteriota; Desulfobulbia; Desulfobulbales; Desulfobulbaceae. The record is from RNAcentral.